This 484-nucleotide ribosomal RNA is filed under the name uncultured bacterium. RNAcentral's name for it is "bacterial SSU rRNA". It matches the Rfam family "Bacterial small subunit ribosomal RNA", at positions 38 to 507 of the family's 1533-position model. The record is from RNAcentral.
AGACGACGCUGGGCGGCGUGCCUAACACAUGCAAGUCGAGCGGAGUCGAUCGACGGAAGCCUUCGGGCGGAAGAUGGUUGACUUAGCGGCGGAUGGGUGAGUAACGCGUGGGCAACCUGCCUCGAAGACCGGGAUAACAGCCCGAAAGGGCUGCUAAUACCGGAUGUGGUCAAGGAUCCGCAUGGAUUUUUGAUUAAAGGGGAAACCCGUUUCGAGAUGGGCCCGCGUCCUAUCAGCUAGUUGGUGAGGUAAAAGCUCACCAAGGCGACGACGGGUAGCCGGCCUGAGAGGGUGACCGGCCACACUGGAACUGAGACACGGUCCAGACUCCUACGGGGGGCAGCAGUGGGGAAUCUUCCACAAUGGGCGAAAGCCUGAUGGAGCGACGCCGCGUGAGCGAAGAAGGCCUUCGGGUUGUAAAGCUCUGUCUGGAGGGACGAAGGAAGUGACGGUACCUCCGGAGGAAGCCACGGCUAACUACGUG